RNAcentral lists this unclassified non-coding RNA (226 nucleotides) under Hevea brasiliensis (rubber tree). The record is from RNAcentral. Lineage: Eukaryota; Viridiplantae; Streptophyta; Magnoliopsida; Malpighiales; Euphorbiaceae.
AAAAAAAAUCCUUAAGAAAAAGCCUUACUGCUGCAGCCUGCACUAUAUCAGAACGCAUACCAUAACAGUUGAAAAAAAAAAUCAUAUGUAUAAAAUACAAAAAUAAAAUACAAAAAUACCUAAAAAGAAUUGCAGUAAAAAAAUCACAUAUUUCUUAUGAAUGAAAAGCCAAAGCCAAUGAUAAUGAUAAACAAGAUGCUAACCUUCUCAUCAAUCCACAUCAAAG